This is a small nuclear RNA of Ochotona princeps (American pika), 105 nucleotides long. The record is from Ensembl. NCBI's taxonomy places the organism in Eukaryota, Metazoa, Chordata, Mammalia, Lagomorpha, Ochotonidae.
GUGACCACUUCGGCGGCAAGUACACUAAGACUGGAUGAUCCGAGAAGUCGGGCACAGCCUCUGUGCAAAGAUGACAUGUAAAUUCAUGAAGCAUUCCAUAUUUAA